UACAGAGGUCCCAAGCGUUGUUCGGAAUUACUGGGCGUAAAGGGCUCGUAGGCGGCCAACUAAGUCAUACGUGAAAUCCCUCGGCUUAACCGGGGAACUGCGUCUGAUACUGGAUGGCUUGAGUUCGGGAGAGGGAUGCGGAAUUCCAGGUGUAGCGGUGAAAUGCGUAGAUAUCUGGAGGAACACCGGUGGCGAAGGCGGCACCCUGGACCGAUACUGACGCUGAGGAGCGAAAGCCAGGGGAGCAAACGGG
This 253-nucleotide ribosomal RNA is filed under the name uncultured bacterium. RNAcentral describes it as "partial 16S ribosomal RNA". It matches the Rfam family "Bacterial small subunit ribosomal RNA", at positions 524 to 776 of the family's 1533-position model. The record is from RNAcentral.